GACGAACGCUGGCGGCGUGCCUAAUACAUGCAAGUCGAGCGAAGUUUUUCUGGUGCUUGCACUAGAAAGACUUAGCGGCGAACGGGUGAGUAACACGUAAAGAACCUGCCUCAUAGACUGGGACAACUAUUGGAAACGAUAGCUAAUACCGGAUAACAGUAUUUCUCGCAUGAGAGAUAUUUAAAAGUUGGUUAUGCUAACACUAUGAGAUGGCUUUGCGGUGCAUUAGCUAGUUGGUGGGGUAAAGGCCUACCAAGGCGACGAUGCAUAGCCGACCUGAGAGGGUGAUCGGCCACACUGGGACUGAGACACGGCCCAGACUCCUACGGGAGGCAGCAGUAGGGAAUCUUCCGCAAUGGGCGAAAGCCUGACGGAGCAACGCCGCGUGAGUGAAGAAGGAUUUCGGUUCGUAAAGCUCUGUUGUUAGGGAAGAAUGGAUAUGUAGUAACUAUACAUAUAAGAGACGGUACCUAACCAGAAAGCCACGGCUAACUACGUGCCAGCAGCCGCGGUAAUACGUAGGUGGCAAGCGUUGUCCGGAAUUAUUGGGCGUAAAGCGCGCGCAGGUGGUUUAAUAAGUCUGAUGUGAAAGCCCACGGCUCAACCGUGGAGGGUCAUUGGAAACUGUUAAACUUGAGUGCAGGAGAGAAAAGUGGAAUUCCUAGUGUAGCGGUGGAAUGCGUAGAGAUUAGGAGGAACACCAGUGGCGAAGGCGACCACCUGGACUAAUACUGACACUGAGGUGCGAAAGCGUGGGGAGCAAACAG
RNAcentral lists this ribosomal RNA (767 nucleotides) under uncultured bacterium. RNAcentral's name for it is "bacterial SSU rRNA". It matches the Rfam family "Bacterial small subunit ribosomal RNA", at positions 28 to 775 of the family's 1533-position model. The record is from RNAcentral.